UAAGGAAUAUUGCUCAAUGGGAGAAAUCCUGAAGCAGCAACGCCGCGUGGAGGAUGAAGGGUUUUAACUUGUAAACUCCUGUAAAGAAGGAAAAAAUUCCCAUUAGAUGGGAAAUGAUGGUACUUCUGGAGUAAGCCCCGGCUAACUACGUGCCAGCAGCCGCGGUAAUACGUAGGGGGCAAGCGUUGUCCGGAUUUACUGGGUGUAAAGGGUGCUCAGGCGGAUUUGUAAGUCAGAGGUGAAAUCUCACAGCUUAACUGUGAAACUGCCUUUGAUACUGCAAGCCUAGAGUAUGGAAGAGAGUGAUGGAAUAUCUGGUGUAGCAGUGAAAUGCGUAGAUAUCAGAUAGAACACCAAUGGCGAAGGCAGUCACUUGGUCCAUAACUGACGCUAAAGCACGAAAGCGUGGGUAGCAAACAGGAUUAGAUACCCUGGUAGUCCACGCCCUAAACGAUGAAUACUAGAUGUUGGCUUCGCAUGAAGUCAGUAUCUGAGCUAACGCAUUAAGUAUUCCACCUGGAAGUACGAUCGCAGGUUGAAACUCAAAGGAAUUGACGGGGUCAUAG
This 566-nucleotide ribosomal RNA is filed under the name uncultured bacterium. RNAcentral's name for it is "partial 16S ribosomal RNA". It matches the Rfam family "Bacterial small subunit ribosomal RNA", at positions 355 to 924 of the family's 1533-position model. The record is from RNAcentral.